UACGGGGGGGGCAAGCGUUGUUCGGAAUUACUGGGCGUAAAGGGCUCGUAGGUGGCCAACUAAGUCAGACGUGAAAUCCCUCAGCUUAACUGGGGAACUGCGUCUGAUACUGGUUGGCUUGAGUGCAGGAGAGGAAUGCGGAAUUCCAGGUGUAGCGGUGAAAUGCGUAGAUAUCUGGAGGAACACCGGUGGCGAAGGCGGCGUUCUGGACUGCAACUGACACUGAACAACGAAAGCCAGGGGAGCAAACGGG
Molecule: ribosomal RNA, 253 nt
Filed under: uncultured bacterium
Lineage: Bacteria
Description: partial 16S ribosomal RNA
Rfam family: Bacterial small subunit ribosomal RNA
Source: RNAcentral